AUUGAACGCUGGCGGCAGGCCUAACACAUGCAAGUCGAGCGGAUGAAGGGAGCUUGCUCCUGGAUUCAGCGGCGGACGGGUGAGUAAUGCCUAGGAAUCUGCCUGGUAGUGGGGGAUAACGUCCGGAAACGGGCGCUAAUACCGCAUACGUCCUGAGGGAGAAAGUGGGGGAUCUUCGGACCUCACGCUAUCAGAUGAGCCUAGGUCGGAUUAGCUAGUUGGUGGGGUAAAGGCCUACCAAGGCGACGAUCCGUAACUGGUCUGAGAGGAUGAUCAGUCACACUGGAACUUGGACACGGUCCAGACUCCUACGGGAGGCAGCAGUGGGGAAUAUUGGACAAUGGGCGGAAACCUGAUCCAGCCAUGGCGCGUGUGUGGAGAAGGUCUUCGGAUUGUAAAGCACUUUAAGUUGGGAGGAAGGGCAGUAAGUUAAUACCUUGCUGUUUUGACGGUACCAACAGAAUAAGCACCGGCUAACUUCAUG
Molecule: ribosomal RNA, 484 nt
Filed under: uncultured bacterium
Lineage: Bacteria
Description: partial 16S ribosomal RNA
Rfam family: Bacterial small subunit ribosomal RNA
Source: RNAcentral